AUUGAACGCUGGCGGCAGGCCUAACGCAUGCAAGUCGAGCGGAUGAAGGGAGCUUGCUCCUGGAUUCAGCGGCGGACGGGUGAGUAAUGCCUAGGAAUCUGCCUGGUAGUGGGGGAUAACGUCCGGAAACGGGCGCUAAUACCGCAUACGUCCUGAGGGAGAAAGUGGGGGAUCUUCGGACCUCACGCUAUCAGACGAGCCUAGGUCGGAUUAGCUAGUUGGUGGGGUAAAGGCCUACCAAGGCGACGAUCCGUAACUGGUCUGAGAGGAUGAUCAGUCACACUGGAACUGAGACACGGUCCAGACUCCUACGGGAGGCAGCAGUGGGGAAUAUUGGACAAUGGGCGAAAGCCUGAUCCAGCCAUGCCGCGUGUGUGAAGAAGGUCUUCGGAUUGUAAAGCACUUUAAGUUGGGAGGAAGGGCAGUAAGUUAAUACCUUGCUGUUUUGACGUUACCAACAGAAUAAGCACCGGCUAACUUCGUG
Molecule: ribosomal RNA, 484 nt
Filed under: uncultured bacterium
Lineage: Bacteria
Description: partial 16S ribosomal RNA
Rfam family: Bacterial small subunit ribosomal RNA
Source: RNAcentral